RNAcentral lists this ribosomal RNA (484 nucleotides) under Aspidoras pauciradiatus (sixray corydoras). RNAcentral describes it as "partial 16S ribosomal RNA". It matches the Rfam family "Bacterial large subunit ribosomal RNA", at positions 1850 to 2543 of the family's 2925-position model. The record is from RNAcentral. Lineage: Eukaryota; Metazoa; Chordata; Actinopteri; Siluriformes; Callichthyidae.
AGGUCCUGCCUGCCCAGUGACUAUGUUAAACGGCCGCGGUAUUUUGACCGUGCAAAGGUAGCGCAAUCACUUGUCUUUUAAAUGAAGACCUGUAUGAAUGGUGGAACGAGGGCCUAACUGUCUCCCCUUUCAAGUCAAUGAAAUUAAUCUACCCGUGCAGAAGCGGGUAUAUAAAUACAAGACGAGAAGACCCUUUGGAGCUUAAGACUAAAAAUCAACUAUGUCAAAUAUUUAUCAAAUAGAACUAAGUAGCAACUGAUUAUAAUCUUCGGUUGGGGCGACCACGGAAUAAAAAUAAACUUCCACAGGGACUGAGGACUAACCUUAAAACCAAGAAAAACAUUUCUAAGUCACAGAACUUCUGACCACACAGAUCCGGCAAAUUGCCGAUCAAUGGACCAAGUUACCCUAGGGAUAACAGCGCAAUCCCCUUUUAGAGUUCCUAUCGACAAGGGGGUUUACGACCUCGAUGUUGGAUCAGGAC